Molecule: ribosomal RNA, 2715 nt
Filed under: Salmonella enterica subsp. enterica serovar Enteritidis
Lineage: Bacteria; Pseudomonadati; Pseudomonadota; Gammaproteobacteria; Enterobacterales; Enterobacteriaceae
Description: partial 23S ribosomal RNA
Rfam family: Bacterial large subunit ribosomal RNA
Source: RNAcentral
CUCGUCACACUAUCAUUAACUGAAUCCAUAGGUUAAUGAGGCGAACCGGGGGAACUGAAACAUCUAAGUACCCCGAGGAAAAGAAAUCAACCGAGAUUCCCCCAGUAGCGGCGAGCGAACGGGGAGGAGCCCAGAGCCUGAAUCAGCAUGUGUGUUAGUGGAAGCGUCUGGAAAGGCGCGCGAUACAGGGUGACAGCCCCGUACACAAAAGCGCAUGUGCUGUGAGCUCGAUGAGUAGGGCGGGACACGUGGUAUCCUGUCUGAAUAUGGGGGGACCAUCCUCCAAGGCUAAAUACUCCUGACUGACCGAUAGUGAACCAGUACCGUGAGGGAAAGGCGAAAAGAACCCCGGCGAGGGGAGUGAAAAAGAACCUGAAACCGUGUACGUACAAGCAGUGGGAGCACCCUUUGGGUGUGACUGCGUACCUUUUGUAUAAUGGGUCAGCGACUUAUAUUCUGUAGCAAGGUUAACCGAAUAGGGGAGCCGGAGGGAAACCGAGUCUUAAUUGGGCGUUAAGUUGCAGGGUAUAGACCCGAAACCCGGUGAUCUAGCCAUGGGCAGGUUGAAGGUUGGGUAACACUAACUGGAGGACCGAACCGACUAAUGUUGAAAAAUUAGCGGAUGACCUGUGGCUGGGGGUGAAAGGCCAAUCAAACCGGGAGAUAGCUGGUUCUCCCCGAAAGCUAUUUAGGUAGCGCCUCGUGAAUUCAUCUCCGGGGGUAGAGCACUGUUUCGGCUAGGGGGCCAUCCCGGCUUACCAACCCGAUGCAAACUGCGAAUACCGGAGAAUGUUAUCACGGGAGACACACGGCGGGUGCUAACGUCCGUCGUGAAGAGGGAAACAACCCAGACCGCCAGCUAAGGUCCCAAAGUCAUGGUUAAGUGGGAAACGAUGUGGGAAGGCCCAGACAGCCAGGAUGUUGGCUUAGAAGCAGCCAUCAUUUAAAGAAAGCGUAAUAGCUCACUGGUCGAGUCGGCCUGCGCGGAAGAUGUAACGGGGCUAAACCAUGCACCGAAGCUGCGGCAGCGACACUGUGUGUUGUUGGGUAGGGGAGCGUUCUGUAAGCCUGUGAAGGUGUGUCGUGAGGCAUGCUGGAGGUAUCAGAAGUGCGAAUGCUGACAUAAGUAACGAUAAAGCGGGUGAAAAGCCCGCUCGCCGGAAGACCAAGGGUUCCUGUCCAACGUUAAUCGGGGCAGGGUGAGUCGACCCCUAAGGCGAGGCCGAAAGGCGUAGUCGAUGGGAAACGGGUUAAUAUUCCCGUACUUGGUGUUACUGCGAAGGGGGGACGGAGAAGGCUAUGUUGGCCGGGCGACGGUUGUCCCGGUUUAAGCGUGUAGGUGUGUGUUCCAGGUAAAUCCGGUUCACUUUAACACUGAGGCGUGACGACGAGGCACUACGGUGCUGAAGCAACAAAUGCCCUGCUUCCAGGAAAAGCCUCUAAGCAUCAGGUAACAUCAAAUCGUACCCCAAACCGACACAGGUGGUCAGGUAGAGAAUACCAAGGCGCUUGAGAGAACUCGGGUGAAGGAACUAGGCAAAAUGGUGCCGUAACUUCGGGAGAAGGCACGCUGACACGUAGGUGAAGUGAUUUACUCAUGGAGCUGAAGUCAGUCGAAGAUACCAGCUGGCUGCAACUGUUUAUUAAAAACACAGCACUGUGCAAACACGAAAGUGGACGUAUACGGUGUGACGCCUGCCCGGUGCCGGAAGGUUAAUUGAUGGGGUCAGCGCAAGCGAAGCUCCUGAUCGAAGCCCCGGUAAACGGCGGCCGUAACUAUAACGGUCCUAAGGUAGCGAAAUUCCUUGUCGGGUAAGUUCCGACCUGCACGAAUGGCGUAAUGAUGGCCAGGCUGUCUCCACCCGAGACUCAGUGAAAUUGAACUCGCUGUGAAGAUGCAGUGUACCCGCGGCAAGACGGAAAGACCCCGUGAACCUUUACUAUAGCUUGACACUGAACAUUGAGCCUUGAUGUGUAGGAUAGGUGGGAGGCUUUGAAGUGUGGACGCCAGUCUGCAUGGAGCCGACCUUGAAAUACCACCCUUUAAUGUUUGAUGUUCUAACGUGGACCCGUUACCCGGGUUGCGGACAGUGUCUGGUGGGUAGUUUGACUGGGGCGGUCUCCUCCUAAAGAGUAACGGAGGAGCACGAAGGUUGGCUAAUCCUGGUCGGACAUCAGGAGGUUAGUGCAAUGGCAUAAGCCAGCUUGACUGCGAGCGUGACGGCGCGAGCAGGUGCGAAAGCAGGUCAUAGUGAUCCGGUGGUUCUGAAUGGAAGGGCCAUCGCUCAACGGAUAAAAGGUACUCCGGGGAUAACAGGCUGAUACCGCCCAAGAGUUCAUAUCGACGGCGGUGUUUGGCACCUCGAUGUCGGCUCAUCACAUCCUGGGGCUGAAGUAGGUCCCAAGGGUAUGGCUGUUCGCCAUUUAAAGUGGUACGCGAGCUGGGUUUAGAACGUCGUGAGACAGUUCGGUCCCUAUCUGCCGUGGGCGCUGGAGAACUGAGGGGGGCUGCUCCUAGUACGAGAGGACCGGAGUGGACGCAUCACUGGUGUUCGGGUUGUCAUGCCAAUGGCACUGCCCGGUAGCUAAAUGCGGAAGAGAUAAGUGCUGAAAGCAUCUAAGCACGAAACUUGCCCCGAGAUGAGUUCUCCCUGAGACUUAAAGUCUCCUGAAGGAACGUUGAAGACGACGACGUUGAUAGGCCGGGUGUGUAAG